RNAcentral lists this long non-coding RNA (1130 nucleotides) under Callithrix jacchus (white-tufted-ear marmoset). RNAcentral describes it as "lncRNA (ENSCJAG00000083734.1)". Lineage: Eukaryota; Metazoa; Chordata; Mammalia; Primates; Cebidae. The record is from RNAcentral.
AUGCAUGAGAAUCCCAGAGAAUUAAUGUGGAAAGGUGCAUUGGUCCAAUCUUCCUUUAUUGAAAAGCUGAAGCCUAGAGAGGGGGCACUCCAGUCCAGCCACACAGACCUUUCUUCCUGCUUCUCAAACACACCAGGAAUGCUCCAAACUCAGAGCCUUUGCAUUGCUGUGAGCCCUGCCUAACCUGCUCUUCCUCCAGGGAUCUGAUACCUCAUCCAGAGCUUAGCCCAGUGUCGCCUUCUCAGUGAAGCCCUCUCUGGCCAAGAACAAAAAUAUUAAAUUAUAUGCUGAAUCUCCUUUUCCCCACUUAAUUUUUCUCUUUAAUACUUAUCAGCAAUAAAACCAAUAUAUUUAAUGUUUUUAUGUCUCCCCACUUGAAUUUCAGCUCUACAAGGACUAAAAUUUUCAUCAGUUCUGGUCUUUAUUUUUCCUUCAAUCACUAGAAUGGUGACUAAUGCAUAAUAGGGGUUCAAUAAGUACUUAUUAAGCAAUGAAUCAUUAUAGUUGCAUCAAUCUAUUGUAAAAAUAAAAAACACACACAGAAAUGAUAAAUACCCACAUUUUUAUAGUUUAGUGAAAGAGAGAAAACAAGAGGAGGAAUGAAAAAUAACUAUUUCUGCAAUAUUUUAUUUCUUUGGAGAAAAAAAAGGAAAAAAGACCUCUAAGUGAAAAGACACCAGAGGCUAAGGAAAGUAUUUGCAAAACACAAACCCAAAAAAGAACUUAUAUGGGUACAAAAAAACUAGAAUAAGACCUACUAUUUGAUAGCAUAACAGGGUGAGUAUAGUCAAUCAUAACUGAAUAAUACAUUUUAAAAUAACUAAAAGAAAAUAAUUGGAUUAUUUGUAAAACAAAGGAUAAAGUCUUGAGGGGAUGGAAACCCCAUUCUCCAUGAUGUGUUAUUUCACAUUGCAUGCCUGUAUCAAAACGUCUCAUGUACCUUGUAAAUCUAUGUACCAACUAUGUACCCAGAAAAAAUUUAAAAAUUAAAAUCAAACAAAAAAGAACUUGUACCGAGAGUGUAUAAUGAACUCUCAAAAUUCAACAAGAAAGCAAACAUUCCUUAUACAAUGUAUACACGUAUUGAAACAUGGCACUGUACCUCAUAAAUAUGUACAAUUAUUGUCAAU